AAUAGAUACCCCGGUAGUCCACGCCCUAAACGAUGUCGACUAGGUGUUGGGGAAGGAGACUUCCUUAGUACCGCAGCUAACGCGUGAAGUUGACCGCCUGGGGAGUACGGCCGCAAGGUUAAAACUCAAAGGAAUUGACGGGGACCCGCACAAGCGGUGGAUUAUGUGGAUUAAUUCGAUGCAACGCGAAAAACCUUACCUACCCUUGACAUGUACGGAAUUCCGCAGAGAUGUGGAAGUGCCCGAAAGGGAACCGUAACACAGGUGCUGCAUGGCUGUCGUCAGCUCGUGUCGUGAGAUGUUGGGUUAAGUCCCGCAACGAGCGCAACCCUUGCCAUUAGUUGCUACAUUCAGUUGGGCACUCUAAUGGGACCGCCGGUGACAAACCGGAGGAAGGUGGGGAUGACGUCAAGUCCUCAUGGCCCUUAUGGGUAGGGCUUCACACGUAAUACAAUGGUCGGUACAGAGGGCUGCCAACCCGCAAGGGGGAGCUAAUCCCAGAAAGCCGAUCGUAGUCCGGAUUGUAGUCUGCAACUCGACUGCAUGAAGCCGGAA
This 555-nucleotide ribosomal RNA is filed under the name uncultured bacterium. RNAcentral's name for it is "bacterial SSU rRNA". It matches the Rfam family "Bacterial small subunit ribosomal RNA", at positions 777 to 1331 of the family's 1533-position model. The record is from RNAcentral.